This 346-nucleotide unclassified non-coding RNA is filed under the name soil metagenome. RNAcentral describes it as "partial contains 5.8S ribosomal RNA, internal transcribed spacer 2, and large subunit ribosomal RNA". The stretch from base 1 to 120 matches the Rfam family "5.8S ribosomal RNA", at positions 35 to 154 of the family's 154-position model. The record is from RNAcentral.
GAUGAAGAACGCAGCAAAAUGCGAUAAGUAAUGUGAAUUGCAGAAUUCAGUGAAUCAUCGAAUCUUUGAACGCACAUUGCGCCCGCCAGUAUUCUGGCGGGCAUGCCUGUUCGAGCGUCAUUUCAACCCUCAAGCCCUCGGGUUUGGUGUUGGGGAUCGGCGAGCCUUUCUGGCGAGCCGGCCCCGAAAUCUAGUGGCGGUCUCGCUGCAGCCUCCAUUGCGUAGUAGUAAAACCCUCGCAACUGGAACGCGGCGCGGCCAAGCCGUUAAACCCCCAACUUCUGAAUGUUGACCUCGGAUCAGGUAGGAAUACCCGCUGAACUUAAGCAUAUCAAUAAGCGGAGGA